UCGCAGGCGGUUUCUUAAGUCUGAUGUGAAAGCCCCCGGCUCAACCGGGGAGGGUCAUUGGAAACUGGGGAACUUGAGUGCAGAAGAGGAGAGUGGAAUUCCACGUGUAGCGGUGAAAUGCGUAGAGAUGUGGAGGAACACCAGUGGCGAAGGCGACUCUCUGGUCUGUAACUGACGCUGAGGAGCGAAAGCGUGGGGAGCGAACAGGAUUAGAUACCCUGGUAGUCCACGCCGUAAACGAUGAGUGCUAAGUGUUAGGGGGUUUCCGCCCCUUAGUGCUGCAGCUAACGCAUUAAGCACUCCCCCCGGGGAGUACGGUCGCAAGACUGAAACUCAAAGGAAUUGACGGGGGCCCGCACAAGCGGUGGAGCAUGUGGUUUAAUUCGAAGCAACGCNAAGAACCUUACCNGGUCUUGACAUCC
Molecule: ribosomal RNA, 422 nt
Filed under: Bacillus sp. (in: firmicutes)
Lineage: Bacteria; Bacillati; Bacillota; Bacilli; Caryophanales; Bacillaceae
Description: bacterial SSU rRNA
Rfam family: Bacterial small subunit ribosomal RNA
Source: RNAcentral